AUCUUUUUAGUAUAAUGUUAGUACACUUGCCUUCCAAGUAAGGAGUUUAAAUAUAAAUUUAAAAAAGAUA
Molecule: transfer RNA, 70 nt
Filed under: Melo melo
Lineage: Eukaryota; Metazoa; Mollusca; Gastropoda; Neogastropoda; Volutidae
Description: tRNA-Gly
Rfam family: tRNA
About the family: Transfer RNA (tRNA) molecules are approximately 80 nucleotides in length. Their secondary structure includes four short double-helical elements and three loops (D, anti-codon, and T loops).
Source: RNAcentral